RNAcentral lists this ribosomal RNA (260 nucleotides) under uncultured bacterium. RNAcentral describes it as "partial 16S ribosomal RNA". It matches the Rfam family "Bacterial small subunit ribosomal RNA", at positions 80 to 339 of the family's 1533-position model. The record is from RNAcentral.
AAUACUUGAUGACGAGUGGCGCACGGGUGCGUAACGCGUAUGCAAUCUACCUUCAACUGAGGAUAGCUCGGAGAAAUCCGGAUUAAUACCUCAUAAUAUUCGAGAGUGGCAUCACUUUACCAAUUAAAGCUCAGGCGGUUGAAGAUGAGCAUGCGUAACAUUAGUUUGUUGGUGAGGUAAUGGCUCACCAAGACUACGAUGGUUUAGGGAUCUGAGAGGACUUAACCCCCACACUGGUACUGAGACACGGACCAGACUCC